CAGUCGCCGCGGGAAUACGGAGGGAGCUAGCGUUGUUCGGAAUUACUGGGCGUAAAGCGCGCGUAGGCGGCUAUUCAAGUCAGAGGUGAAAGCCCGGGGCUCAACCCCGGAACUGCCUUUGAAACUAGAUAGCUAGAAUCUUGGAGAGGCGAGUGGAAUUCCGAGUGUAGAGGUGAAAUUCGUAGAUAUUCGGAAGAACACCAGUGGCGAAGGCGACUCGCUGGACAAGUAUUGACGCUGAGGUGCGAAAGCGUGGGGAGCAAACAGGAUUAGAUACCCGCGUAGUCCCUGUCUCUUAUAC
RNAcentral lists this ribosomal RNA (301 nucleotides) under uncultured bacterium. Its description in RNAcentral is "partial 16S ribosomal RNA". It matches the Rfam family "Bacterial small subunit ribosomal RNA", at positions 509 to 807 of the family's 1533-position model. The record is from RNAcentral.